CUGCAUUAUGAAUGAUAAGAGUGGAACUGAAUGAACUCUGAUAGUAGAGCAACAUCUGAGUAACAGGAGUAACUUCCAAAUGCAAGGUCAUCGGCAAUGACGUUAAACGUCCACGUAUCAGACAUUUCUUAUCCUGAGAAUUCUGGUUAGUGCUGUCAAAUGAUUAAUCGCAUCCAAAAUACAAAAAAGCACAGCGCAGUCGUACAAAAUAAUAUCAUCUUUUAUUUCCAUCAAUUUACAAGUACCUCUGUUAAAUCCCCUUACCAGUGUCAGAUUGAAGCUGCUGGGCCAGAAACUGAUGGGGAAGAAUCAAAGAACUCAGAUAACCAGUUACCAUUACUAGCUGUACACUCUUGGAUAAACUGGUAAAUUUGCUUUAGUCUUCCUUGAGAGGCUGGGAUCUGACUCUCAAGGCCAAUUUAACUCAAAGAAGGUUAUGUUUUCUUGUAGGAAGUUACAUACAGAUUACAGAUUAGAGGGAAUAUGUGACAAAUUAGACAACCCAUAAGUGAAUAUUAAUUUCCUCUAAAACUUAUGGAGCUCUCAGUGGCUUUGCUUUGGAUGACUUUACCACCGAUACAUCUGCCCUGGAAGAACACAACAGACGGGAUGAUUUGAGUACACAAAUCAACAGAAUACACUAUGAAAAUCAACUCCAUCAAUUAAAAAAAUCAUAUACAAGAAAAAAAAAAGACAAA
This is a long non-coding RNA of Carassius gibelio (silver crucian carp), 698 nucleotides long. RefSeq lists it as uncharacterized. The transcript is spliced from 2 exons. The record is from RefSeq and is a predicted model, not a curated record. Lineage: Eukaryota; Metazoa; Chordata; Actinopteri; Cypriniformes; Cyprinidae.